RNAcentral lists this ribosomal RNA (463 nucleotides) under uncultured bacterium. Its description in RNAcentral is "partial 16S ribosomal RNA". It matches the Rfam family "Bacterial small subunit ribosomal RNA", at positions 28 to 505 of the family's 1533-position model. The record is from RNAcentral.
GACGAACGCUGGCGGCGUGCUUAACACAUGCCAGUCGAACGGAAAGGCCCCUUUGGGGGUACUCGAGUGGCGAACGGGUGAGUAACACGUGAGUAACCUGCCCUUGACUUCGGGAUAACUUCAGGAAACUGGGGCUAAUACCGGAUAGGAAUCCUUGCUGCAUGGUGGGGGUUGGAAAGCUUCGGCGGUUUUGGAUGGACUCGCGGCUUAUCAGCUUGUUGGUGGGGUAGUGGCUUACCAAGGCUUUGACGGGUAGCCGGCCUGAGAGGGCGACCGGCCACAUUGGGACUGAGAUACGGCCCAGACUCCUACGGGAGGCAGCAGUGGGGAAUAUUGCACAAUGGGCGGAAGCCUGAUGCAGCAACGCCGCGUGCGGGAUGACGGCCUUCGGGUGGUAAACCGCUUUCAGCAGGGGCGAAGCUUGUGGUGACGGUACCUGCAGAAGAAGCACCGGCUAACUACG